GUGAAAGUUGAAAAGUUUUUACAGCUUGAAUUUCUGCAAAAAAAUUAUAACAAUCUCUACAGUAGUUAGUUUCUCUAACAAUAGAACUGUACAGUGUGUGUCUAUUCAAAAAAGUUUUGAUAAGAAGGUGAAAGGUUAGUAGAUUUAGAGAUGACUUGUUUUAAUUAACCUGCAUCUUAGUACAACUGUGAGGCCGGGGCAUCUGUUAUGCAAUCCAGUCAUUGAGAAGCUGCAUUAUUCCCUUUUUUUCUUCUUUUGUUUUUGCCUUUUCCUCCAAACUGAAAUUAGAAUUAUCUUUUCUUUAUUUUCCACUUAAAGCCAUAUUCUGUAUUUAAGGGGAAUCUUUUACCUUGUAAAAGGAGUUUUAUGUUGUUGGAAGCAGGGCAAAGGGCCUGAACUUCCCAUCAUCCAAUCCCUAUAAAUAGCGGCAACAGAACACCAAGUGUACACAUCUUACAGGCUCUUUGGAUUUUGAAGAAAAGGUCUAAGCAUACUGCACAUGGCUGACAGAUGGGCGCAGUCUGUCGUUGCUGUCCGAAGGGGGCUCCCCCCCUAGGCUGCGUGAGGGUUCACAAACAGCUCAGGGGCUCACCAGACAAAAUAUGGCUUUAAAUCAUGUACAUCUCCAGGCCAGCGCUUACCGAGUGAAUUAGGAUAACCUUUCUAAGUACCGAGAAGCUAAGCGUCAGUGUCACUUAAAUUUUCCAGUUCUUUUUUAAAAUUUUAUUUUCCUUUCUCACCAUGAAAAAAAAAUCUGCCUUCCUCCCUUCCUUCCCCACCCUGGAUUCCCUCCCUUCGCCCGAACCCCAUAAAAAUCGCACUCUGACAGUCUAGUGGAAACCAUUGCAAAAUCCAUACAGGGGGCAUGCACAGUUGCAGCAUUGUUGUAAAUGAUUUCUUGUAAAAAGUUACAUUGUCUUAAGGUAACAAAACAGUUCUUUUGUGCUUUUCAAUUCUUUUUUUUUUUUCUUAGAAUGUUAGUGAUGAUUGACAGUUCUGGUGCACAGUACAAUGUACAAGUGAAAUGAAUAUGAUUUGCAUUGUUAAGGCAUCCAAUCUGCUGGUUUAUAUUUAUGUGAAAGACAGAGGAAAUAUACAAGCAGACGUAAGAAAGAAAGUAUUUUCAUUGAUUUCUAUGAAGUUUCUCCCCAAAUUUAAUGCACAAAAUGCGUCACUCCAAAGGGGAGAGAUUCCAUGCAUAUUAAUAGAGUAAAACAGCAUUAGGUUUUUUUUUUUUGUAAGCUUCCAAAGCAAAGGAUACAUUUUUCUUAAAUCUACAGAACUAAAUGCUACAAGAAUAA
This 1301-nucleotide long non-coding RNA is filed under the name Sarcophilus harrisii (Tasmanian devil). RNAcentral describes it as "lncRNA (ENSSHAG00000023729.1)". The record is from RNAcentral. Lineage: Eukaryota; Metazoa; Chordata; Mammalia; Dasyuromorphia; Dasyuridae.